ACCCCUAAGGCGAGGCCGAAAGGCGUAGUCGAUGGGAAACGGGUUAAUAUUCCCGUACUUGGUGUUACUGCGAAGGGGGGACGGAGAAGGCUAUGUUGGCCGGGCGACGGUUGUCCCGGUUUAAGCGUGUAGGUGUGUGUUCCAGGUAAAUCCGGUUCACUUUAACACUGAGGCGUGACGACGAGGCACUACGGUGCUGAAGCAACAAAUGCCCUGCUUCCAGGAAAAGCCUCUAAGCAUCAGGUAACAUCAAAUCGUACCCCAAACCGACACAGGUGGUCAGGUAGAGAAUACCAAGGCGCUUGAGAGAACUCGGGUGAAGGAACUAGGCAAAAUGGUGCCGUAACUUCGGGAGAAGGCACGCUGACACGUAGGUGAAGUGAUUUACUCAUGGAGCUGAAGUCAGUCGAAGAUACCAGCUGGCUGCAACUGUUUAUUAAAAACACAGCACUGUGCAAACACGAAAGUGGACGUAUACGGUGUGACGCCUGCCCGGUGCCGGAAGGUUAAUUGAUGGGGUCAGCGCAAGCGAAGCUCCUGAUCGAAGCCCCGGUAAACGGCGGCCGUAACUAUAACGGUCCUAAGGUAGCGAAAUUCCUUGUCGGGUAAGUUCCGACCUGCACGAAUGGCGUAAUGAUGGCCAGGCUGUCUCCACCCGAGACUCAGUGAAAUUGAACUCGCUGUGAAGAUGCAGUGUACCCGCGGCAAGACGGAAAGACCCCGUGAACCUUUACUAUAGCUUGACACUGAACAUUGAGCCUUGAUGUGUAGGAUAGGUGGGAGGCUUUGAAGUGUGGACGCCAGUCUGCAUGGAGCCGACCUUGAAAUACCACCCUUUAAUGUUUGAUGUUCUAACGUGGACCCGUGAUCCGGGUUGCGGACAGUGUCUGGUGGGUAGUUUGACUGGGGCGGUCUCCUCCUAAAGAGUAACGGAGGAGCACGAAGGUUGGCUAAUCCUGGUCGGACAUCAGGAGGUUAGUGCAAUGGCAUAAGCCAGCUUGACUGCGAGCGUGACGGCGCGAGCAGGUGCGAAAGCAGGUCAUAGUGAUCCGGUGGUUCUGAAUGGAAGGGCCAUCGCUCAACGGAUAAAAGGUACUCCGGGGAUAACAGGCUGAUACCGCCCAAGAGUUCAUAUCGACGGCGGUGUUUGGCACCUCGAUGUCGGCUCAUCACAUCCUGGGGCUGAAGUAGGUCCCAAGGGUAUGGCUGUUCGCCAUUUAAAGUGGUACGCGAGCUGGGUUUAGAACGUCGUGAGACAGUUCGGUCCCUAUCUGCCGUGGGCGCUGGAGAACUGAGGGGGGCUGCUCCUAGUACGAGAGGACCGGAGUGGACGCAUCACUGGUGUUCGGGUUGUCAUGCCAAUGGCACUGCCCGGUAGCUAAAUGCGGAAGAGAUAAGUGCUGAAAGCAUCUAAGCACGAAACUUGCCCCGAG
Molecule: ribosomal RNA, 1433 nt
Filed under: Salmonella enterica
Lineage: Bacteria; Pseudomonadati; Pseudomonadota; Gammaproteobacteria; Enterobacterales; Enterobacteriaceae
Also listed under: 1 other name
Description: bacterial LSU rRNA
Rfam family: Bacterial large subunit ribosomal RNA
Source: RNAcentral